RNAcentral lists this ribosomal RNA (2903 nucleotides) under Enterobacter roggenkampii. RNAcentral's name for it is "23S ribosomal RNA". It matches the Rfam family "Bacterial large subunit ribosomal RNA". The record is from RNAcentral. Lineage: Bacteria; Pseudomonadati; Pseudomonadota; Gammaproteobacteria; Enterobacterales; Enterobacteriaceae.
UUAAGCGACUAAGCGUACACGGUGGAUGCCCUGGCAGUCAGAGGCGAUGAAGGACGUGCUAAUCUGCGAAAAGCGCCGGCGAGGUGAUAUGAACCUUUGACCCGGCGAUGUCCGAAUGGGGAAACCCAGUGUGAUUCGUCACACUAUCGUUAACUGAAUACAUAGGUUAACGAGGCGAACCGGGGGAACUGAAACAUCUAAGUACCCCGAGGAAAAGAAAUCAACCGAGAUUCCCCCAGUAGCGGCGAGCGAACGGGGAGCAGCCCAGAGUCUGAAUCAGCUUGUGUGUUAGUGGAAGCGUCUGGAAAGUCGCACGGUACAGGGUGACAGUCCCGUACACGAAAGCACACAGGUUGUGAACUCGAAGAGUAGGGCGGGACACGUGGUAUCCUGUCUGAAUAUGGGGGGACCAUCCUCCAAGGCUAAAUACUCCUGACUGACCGAUAGUGAACCAGUACCGUGAGGGAAAGGCGAAAAGAACCCCGGCGAGGGGAGUGAAAAAGAACCUGAAACCGUGUACGUACAAGCAGUGGGAGCACCUUCGUGGUGUGACUGCGUACCUUUUGUAUAAUGGGUCAGCGACUUAUAUUCUGUAGCAAGGUUAACCGUAUAGGGGAGCCGAAGGGAAACCGAGUCUUAACUGGGCGUUAAGUUGCAGGGUAUAGACCCGAAACCCGGUGAUCUAGCCAUGGGCAGGUUGAAGGUUGGGUAACACUAACUGGAGGACCGAACCGACUAAUGUUGAAAAAUUAGCGGAUGACUUGUGGCUGGGGGUGAAAGGCCAAUCAAACCGGGAGAUAGCUGGUUCUCCCCGAAAGCUAUUUAGGUAGCGCCUCGUGAACUCAUCUUCGGGGGUAGAGCACUGUUUCGGCUAGGGGGCCAUCCCGGCUUACCAACCCGAUGCAAACUACGAAUACCGAAGAAUGUUAUCACGGGAGACACACGGCGGGUGCUAACGUCCGUCGUGAAGAGGGAAACAACCCAGACCGCCAGCUAAGGUCCCAAAGUCAUGGUUAAGUGGGAAACGAUGUGGGAAGGCACAGACAGCCAGGAUGUUGGCUUAGAAGCAGCCAUCAUUUAAAGAAAGCGUAAUAGCUCACUGGUCGAGUCGGCCUGCGCGGAAGAUGUAACGGGGCUAAACCAUGCACCGAAGCUGCGGCAGCGACGCGUAUGCGUUGUUGGGUAGGGGAGCGUUCUGUAAGCCGUUGAAGGUGGCCUGUGAGGGUUGCUGGAGGUAUCAGAAGUGCGAAUGCUGACAUAAGUAACGAUAAAGCGGGUGAAAAGCCCGCUCGCCGGAAGACCAAGGGUUCCUGUCCAACGUUAAUCGGGGCAGGGUGAGUCGACCCCUAAGGCGAGGCCGAAAGGCGUAGUCGAUGGGAAACAGGUUAAUAUUCCUGUACUUGGUGUUACUGCGAAGGGGGGACGGAGAAGGCUAUGUUAGCCGGGCGACGGUUGUCCCGGUUUAAGCAUGUAGGCGGAACGAUUAGGUAAAUCCGGUCGUUUUUUAACGCUGAGGUGUGAUGACGAGGCACUACGGUGCUGAAGUAACAAAUGCCCUGCUUCCAGGAAAAGCCUCUAAGCAUCAGGUAACAUCAAAUCGUACCCCAAACCGACACAGGUGGUCAGGUAGAGAAUACCAAGGCGCUUGAGAGAACUCGGGUGAAGGAACUAGGCAAAAUGGUGCCGUAACUUCGGGAGAAGGCACGCUGAUAUGUAGGUGAAGCCCCUGCGGGUGGAGCUGAAAUCAGUCGAAGAUACCAGCUGGCUGCAACUGUUUAUUAAAAACACAGCACUGUGCAAACACGAAAGUGGACGUAUACGGUGUGACGCCUGCCCGGUGCCGGAAGGUUAAUUGAUGGGGUUAGCGGCAACGCGAAGCUCUUGAUCGAAGCCCCGGUAAACGGCGGCCGUAACUAUAACGGUCCUAAGGUAGCGAAAUUCCUUGUCGGGUAAGUUCCGACCUGCACGAAUGGCGUAAUGAUGGCCAGGCUGUCUCCACCCGAGACUCAGUGAAAUUGAACUCGCUGUGAAGAUGCAGUGUACCCGCGGCAAGACGGAAAGACCCCGUGAACCUUUACUAUAGCUUGACACUGAACACUGGUCCUUGAUGUGUAGGAUAGGUGGGAGGCUUUGAAGUGUGGACGCCAGUCUGCAUGGAGCCGUCCUUGAAAUACCACCCUUUAAUGGCUGGUGUUCUAACGUAGACCCGUAAUCCGGGUUGCGGACAGUGUCUGGUGGGUAGUUUGACUGGGGCGGUCUCCUCCCAAAGAGUAACGGAGGAGCACGAAGGUUAGCUAAUCCUGGUCGGACAUCAGGAGGUUAGUGCAAUGGCAUAAGCUAGCUUGACUGCGAGAGUGACGGCUCGAGCAGGUGCGAAAGCAGGUCAUAGUGAUCCGGUGGUUCUGAAUGGAAGGGCCAUCGCUCAACGGAUAAAAGGUACUCCGGGGAUAACAGGCUGAUACCGCCCAAGAGUUCAUAUCGACGGCGGUGUUUGGCACCUCGAUGUCGGCUCAUCACAUCCUGGGGCUGAAGUAGGUCCCAAGGGUAUGGCUGUUCGCCAUUUAAAGUGGUACGCGAGCUGGGUUUAGAACGUCGUGAGACAGUUCGGUCCCUAUCUGCCGUGGGCGCUGGAGAAUUGAGGGGGGCUGCUCCUAGUACGAGAGGACCGGAGUGGACGCAUCACUGGUGUUCGGGUUGUCAUGCCAAUGGCACUGCCCGGUAGCUAAAUGCGGAAAAGAUAAGUGCUGAAAGCAUCUAAGCACGAAACUUGCCCCGAGAUGAGUUCUCCCUGAGACUUUAAGUCUCCUGAAGGAACGUUGAAGACGACGACGUUGAUAGGUCGGGUGUGUAAGCGCAGCGAUGCGUUGAGCUAACCGAUACUAAUGAACCGUGAGGCUUAACCU